GCUGGGUGUAGUGGCACAUCCCUGUAAUCCUAGCAGCUUGGGAGGCUGAGGCAGGAGGAUCACUAGUUCAAGGCCAGCCUCAGAAAUAAGGAGGUGCUAAGCAACUCAGUGAGACCCUGUCUCUA
This 125-nucleotide small RNA is filed under the name Marmota monax (woodchuck). Lineage: Eukaryota; Metazoa; Chordata; Mammalia; Rodentia; Sciuridae. The record is from RNAcentral.